CAUCCAGCGAAGCCUUUAGAGAUAGAGGUGGGCCUUCGGGAGCGCUGAGACAGGUGCUGCAUGGCUGUCGUCAGCUGGGGGUGUGGAAUGUGGGGUUAAGUCCCGCAACGAGCGCAACCCUUAUCCUUGUUUGCCAGCACGUAAUGGUGGGAACUCCAGGGAGACUGCCGGUGAUAAACCGGAGGAAGGUGGGGACGACGUCAAGUCAUCAUGGCCCUUACGAGUAGGGCUACACACGUGCUACAAUGGCAGAUACAGAGGGCAGCGAGACAGCGAUGUUUAGCGAAUCCCUUAAAGUUUGUCGUAGUCCGGAUUGGAGUCUGCAACUCGACUCCAUGAAGUCGGAAUCGCUAGUAAUCGUGGAUCAGAGUGCCACGGUGAAUACGUUCCCGGGCCUUGUACACACCGCCCGUCACACCAUGGGAGUGGGCUGCACCAGAAGUAGAUAGCUUAACCUUCGGGAGGGCGUUUACCACGGUGUGGUUCAUGACU
RNAcentral lists this ribosomal RNA (492 nucleotides) under uncultured bacterium. RNAcentral describes it as "bacterial SSU rRNA". It matches the Rfam family "Bacterial small subunit ribosomal RNA", at positions 985 to 1476 of the family's 1533-position model. The record is from RNAcentral.